RNAcentral lists this ribosomal RNA (252 nucleotides) under uncultured bacterium. Its description in RNAcentral is "partial 16S ribosomal RNA". It matches the Rfam family "Bacterial small subunit ribosomal RNA", at positions 524 to 775 of the family's 1533-position model. The record is from RNAcentral.
UACGUAGGCAGCAAGCGUUGUUCGGAGUUACUGGGCGUAAAGAGUGCGUAGGCGGUCCUCUAAGUUUGGUGUGAAAUCUCCCGGCUCAACUGGGAGGGUGCGCCGAAAACUGGAGGGCUUGAGUGUGGGAGAGGUAAGCGGAAUUCCUGGUGUAGCGGUGAAAUGCGUAGAUAUCAGGAGGAACACCUGCGGUGUAGACGGCUUACUGGACCACGACUGACGCUGAGGCACGAAAGCGUGGGUAUCAAACAG